RNAcentral lists this unclassified non-coding RNA (210 nucleotides) under Hevea brasiliensis (rubber tree). Lineage: Eukaryota; Viridiplantae; Streptophyta; Magnoliopsida; Malpighiales; Euphorbiaceae. The record is from RNAcentral.
GAUGUCUAUGUUUUCGCUCAACUACGCCAUUCUGUUGAGGGGUAUAAGGACAACAUUUUUUAUGAAUGAUGCCCCUGGACUGAAACAAUUGUAAACACUGAUGAUUCACAAACUCCCUCCCAUUAUCUGUCCUUACUAUUUUCACUUUGACAUUGAACUAGGUUUCCACAUAAUUGAGAAACAUGGAAAGAACAUAGCUACAUUGGUCUU